GCCAACGUAGCAUAGUUGGUUAAUGCACCUCAUUCGUAAUGAGGAGAUCCGUGGUUCGAACCCGCGCGUUGGCU
Molecule: non-coding RNA, 74 nt
Organism: Nitzschia inconspicua
Lineage: Eukaryota; Bacillariophyta; Bacillariophyceae; Bacillariales; Bacillariaceae
Source: the annotation of a GenBank genome assembly